CCUACGGGAGGCAGCAGUGGGGAAUUUUGGACAAUGGACGCAAGUCUGAUCCAGCCAUGCCGCGUGUGGGAAGAAGGCCUUCGGGUUGUAAACCACUUUUGUCAGGGAAGAAACGGCUCACUCUAAUACAGAGGGCUAAUGACGGUACCUGAAGAAUAAGCACCGGCUAACUACGUGCCAGCAGCCGCGGUAAUACGUAGGGUGCAAGCGUUAAUCGGAAUUACUGGGCGUAAAGCGUGCGCAGGCGGUUAUGCAAGACAGAUGUGAAAUCCCCGGGCUCAACCUGGGAACUGCAUUUGUGACUGCAUGGCUAGAGUACGGUAGAGGGGGAUGGAAUUCCGCGUGUAGCAGUGAAAUGCGUAGAUAUGCGGAGGAACACCGAUGGCGAAGGCAAUCCCCUGGACCUGUACUGACGCUCAUGCACGAAAGCGUGGGGAGCAAACAGGAUUAGAUACCCUGGUAGUCCACGCCCUAAACGAUGUCAACUGGUUGUUGGGAGGGUUUCUUCUCAGUAACGUAGCUAACGCGUGAAGUUGACCGCCUGGGGAGUACGGCCGCAAGGUUGAAACUCAAAUGAAUUGACCGGNUGAGAGNGCGAGGCGACACGAGGGGAGGAGG
Molecule: ribosomal RNA, 618 nt
Filed under: uncultured bacterium
Lineage: Bacteria
Description: bacterial SSU rRNA
Rfam family: Bacterial small subunit ribosomal RNA
Source: RNAcentral